UACGGAGGAUGCAAGCGUUAUCCGGAUUCAUUGGGUUUAAAGGGUGCGUAGGCGGGAUGAUAAGUCAGAGGUGAAAGCCAGCAGCUCAACUGUUGAACUGCCUUUGAUACUGUCGUUCUUGAAUAUGGUUGGAGUGGGCGGAAUGUGACAUGUAGCGGUGAAAUGCGUAGAUAUGUCACAGAACACCGAUCGCGAAGGCAGCUCACUAAGCCAUUAUUGACGCUGAUGCACGAAAGCGUGGGGAGAAAACAGGAUUAGAUACCCUGGUAGUCCACGCCGUAAACGAUGAUAACUCGACGUUGGCAAUAUACUGUUCAGCGUCUAAGCGAAAGCGUUAAGUUAUCCACCUGGGGAGUACGAUCGCAAGGUUGAA
This 373-nucleotide ribosomal RNA is filed under the name uncultured bacterium. RNAcentral describes it as "bacterial SSU rRNA". It matches the Rfam family "Bacterial small subunit ribosomal RNA", at positions 524 to 898 of the family's 1533-position model. The record is from RNAcentral.